AUUGAACGCUGGCGGUAGGCCUAACACAUGCAAGUCGAACGGUAACAGGAAGAAGCUUGCUUCUUUGCUGACGGGUGGCGGACGGGUGAGUAAUGUCUGGGAAACUGCCUGAUGGAGGGGGAUAACUACUGGAAACGGUAGCUAAUACCGCAUAAACGUCGCAAGACCAAAAGAGGGGGGACCUUCGGGCCUCUUGCCAUCGGAUGUGCCCAGAUGGGAUUAGCUAGUAGGUGGGGUAACGGCUCACCUAGGCGACGAUCCCUAGCUGGUCUGAGAGGAUGACCAGCCACACUGGAACUGAGACACGGUCCAGACUCCUACGGGAGGCAGCAGUGGGGAGUAUUGCACAAUGGGCGCAAGCCUGAUGCAGCCAUG
Molecule: ribosomal RNA, 375 nt
Filed under: uncultured bacterium
Lineage: Bacteria
Description: bacterial SSU rRNA
Rfam family: Bacterial small subunit ribosomal RNA
Source: RNAcentral